RNAcentral lists this ribosomal RNA (248 nucleotides) under Escherichia coli. Its description in RNAcentral is "partial 16S ribosomal RNA". It matches the Rfam family "Bacterial small subunit ribosomal RNA", at positions 1 to 246 of the family's 1533-position model. Lineage: Bacteria; Pseudomonadati; Pseudomonadota; Gammaproteobacteria; Enterobacterales; Enterobacteriaceae. The record is from RNAcentral.
AAUUGAAGAGUUUGAUCAUGGCUCAGAUUGAACGCUGGCGGCAGGCCUAACACAUGCAAGUCGAACGGUAACAGGAAACAGCUUGCUGUUUCGCUGACGAGUGGCGGACGGGUGAGUAAUGUCUGGGAAACUGCCUGAUGGAGGGGGAUAACUACUGGAAACGGUAGCUAAUACCGCAUAACGUCGCAAGACCAAAGAGGGGGACCUUCGGGCCUCUUGCCAUCGGAUGUGCCCAGAUGGGAUUAGCU